ACGGAGGAUCCAAGCGUUAUCCGGAUUUAUUGGGUUUAAAGGGUGCGCAGGCGGAAUUGUAAGUCAGUGGUGAAAUCCUACAGCUUAACUGUAGAACUGCCAUUGAUACUGCAAUUCUUGAGUACAGUUGAAGUGGGUGGAAUGUGUCAUGUAGCGGUGAAAUGCUUAGAUAUGACACAAAACGCCAAUUGCGAAGGCAUCUCACUAAGCUGUAACUGACGCUCAUGCACGAAAGCGUGGGGAUCAAACAG
RNAcentral lists this ribosomal RNA (251 nucleotides) under uncultured prokaryote. RNAcentral's name for it is "partial 16S rRNA". It matches the Rfam family "Bacterial small subunit ribosomal RNA", at positions 525 to 775 of the family's 1533-position model. The record is from RNAcentral.